CAGCACCUCAAGUGGUCAGGAUGAUUAUUGGGCCUAAAGCAUCCGUAGCCGGCUCUGUAAGUUUUCGGUUAAAUCUGUACGCUCAACGUACAGGCUGCCGGGAAUACUGCAGAGCUAGGGAGUGGGAGAGGUAGACGGUACUCGGUAGGAAGGGGUAAAAUCCUUUGAUCUAUUGAUGACCACCUGUGGCGAAGGCAGUCUACCAGAACACGUCCGACGGUGAGGGAUGAAAGCUGGGGGAGCAAACCGGAUUAGAUACCCGAGUAGUCC
RNAcentral lists this ribosomal RNA (270 nucleotides) under uncultured archaeon. RNAcentral describes it as "partial 16S ribosomal RNA". It matches the Rfam family "Archaeal small subunit ribosomal RNA", at positions 477 to 747 of the family's 1478-position model. The record is from RNAcentral.